AGAGUUUGAUCAUGGCUCAGAUUGAACGCUGGCGGCAGGCCUAACACAUGCAAGUCGAGCGGUAGCACAGAGAGCUUGCUCUCGGGUGACGAGCGGCGGACGGGUGAGUAAUGUCUGGGAAACUGCCUGAUGGAGGGGGAUAACUACUGGAAACGGUAGCUAAUACCGCAUAACGUCGCAAGACCAAAGUGGGGGACCUUCGGGCCUCAUGCCAUCAGAUGUGCCCAGAUGGGAUUAGCUAGUAGGUGGGGUAACGGCUCACCUAGGCGACGAUCCCUAGCUGGUCUGAGAGGAUGACCAGCCACACUGGAACUGAGACACGGUCCAGACUCCUACGGGAGGCAGCAGUGGGGAAUAUUGCACAAUGGGCGCAAGCCUGAUGCAGCCAUGCCGCGUGUGUGAAGAAGGCCUUCGGGUUGUAAAGCACUUUCAGCGGGGAGGAAGGCGGUAAGGUUAAUAACCUUGGCGAUUGACGUUACCCGCAGAAGAAGCACCGGCUAACUCCGUGCCAGCAGCCGCGGUAAUACGGAGGGUGCAAGCGUUAAUCGGAAUUACUGGGCGUAAAGCGCACGCAGGCGGUCUGUCAAGUCGGAUGUGAAAUCCCCGGGCUCAACCUGGGAACUGCAUUCGAAACUGGCAGGCUAGAGUCUUGUAGAGGGGGGUAGAAUUCCAGGUGUAGCGGUGAAAUGCGUAGAGAUCUGGAGGAAUACCGGUGGCGAAGGCGGCCCCCUGGACAAAGACUGACGCUCAGGUGCGAAAGCGUGGGGAGCAAACAGGAUUAGAUACCCUGGUAGUCCACGCCGUAAACGAUGUCGAUUUGGAGGUUGUGCCCUUGAGGCGUGGCUUCCGGAGCUAACGCGUUAAAUCGACCGCCUGGGGAGUACGGCCGCAAGGUUAAAACUCAAAUGAAUUGACGGGGGCCCGCACAAGCGGUGGAGCAUGUGGUUUAAUUCGAUGCAACGCGAAGAACCUUACCUGGUCUUGACAUCCACAGAACUUUCCAGAGAUGGAUUGGUGCCUUCGGGAACUGUGAGACAGGUGCUGCAUGGCUGUCGUCAGCUCGUGUUGUGAAAUGUUGGGUUAAGUCCCGCAACGAGCGCAACCCUUAUCCUUUGUUGCCAGCGGUUAGGCCGGGAACUCAAAGGAGACUGCCAGUGAUAAACUGGAGGAAGGUGGGGAUGACGUCAAGUCAUCAUGGCCCUUACGACCAGGGCUACACACGUGCUACAAUGGCAUAUACAAAGAGAAGCGACCUCGCGAGAGCAAGCGGACCUCAUAAAGUAUGUCGUAGUCCGGAUUGGAGUCUGCAACUCGACUCCAUGAAGUCGGAAUCGCUAGUAAUCGUAGAUCAGAAUGCUACGGUGAAUACGUUCCCGGGCCUUGUACACACCGCCCGUCACACCAUGGGAGUGGGUUGCAAAAGAAGUAGGUAGCUUAACCUUCGGGAGGGCGCUUACCACUUUGUGAUUCAUGACUGGGGUGAAGUCGUAACAAGGUAACCGUAGGGGAACCUGCGGUUGGAUCACCU
This 1528-nucleotide ribosomal RNA is filed under the name Klebsiella pneumoniae. RNAcentral's name for it is "bacterial SSU rRNA". It matches the Rfam family "Bacterial small subunit ribosomal RNA". The record is from RNAcentral. Lineage: Bacteria; Pseudomonadati; Pseudomonadota; Gammaproteobacteria; Enterobacterales; Enterobacteriaceae.